This 7157-nucleotide long non-coding RNA is filed under the name Vitis vinifera (wine grape). RNAcentral's name for it is "long non-coding RNA (VVIN_LNC001747)". The record is from RNAcentral. Lineage: Eukaryota; Viridiplantae; Streptophyta; Magnoliopsida; Vitales; Vitaceae.
GGGAGAGGAAUCUUUCUUCUUGCACAUGUAUUUCAUAGUUAUGCAUUAUGAAGUAUUGUAAUGAACCUUGUCCUGUUUGUGGGAAUGAGAACUUAAAAAUAAGUUUGGAGAAGUAUUGCUCCAAAUGGCCUUAGGAAGAAGACUCAAACAUUGCCUCCUAAUUAAUAGGAAUUGAAUAUCCUAUGUUCAUCUACCUCUUGGUUAGAUUGAAUAAAGAUUUGGAUAUAGAAAUCCUUAUGACUGAGUCAUGGUUUGGUUCGGGGUUUAGUUCAGAGAUGAGAAUGUAAGUGGUAUGGGUAACAUUCAGCCUCAACUCCAUUCCUUUUAAGGUUUUCGAUUGGGUUUUCAUCCUCCCAUCAACGAAUGUAAAUCAAAUCUAAAAGUCAUUAUUUGAGGAAUUAUUUGGGUAAAUAAUCCCGACAGUCCAAUCAUCUCUCCCCAGCAUGAUGCUCCCCCAACAUUAUUGAAAUAUGUUUAACAUUUAUUAAAUGUUUAGUGAUGAAUUGGAGUGUGACAAUGAUGCUCUUUCCAAUAAAUAUUUCUCAAAAUUACCAUUUUUUUUUCAAAAAUCCUCCACCAACCCAUUAUAAAUGUAAGUAAUCAUACUAAAAUAAUAAUGCUAAUACAAUUGAAAUAAAAAAUAAAAUAUGAAUAAAUAAGUAACACAAUUUUAUUUUACUCUUUAGUCUAUAAUCUUUCUUCUUAAUAAUUAAAUAUUAUAAAUUUAUUAUUUAUUAAAAUAAAAAAUCUAAUAUAUUUAUAUUUUAUUUUUAUUGUGAUUUUAUAAUUCUUUUAAUUUUAGUAAUAUAUAAAUUAUAUAUUUAUAUUGUACAGUCAGUCACCUCGAUCCCACAUUUCAAGCAUAAACCAAUUAUUUAAAACAUAAUAUUGUUGGAUCAAAACAUCAAUUUUGAUCCAAAAUUCCUUUCUCCGAGAUUAACUGCCCAUGUGAAUGAUCUAAAGCGGUCAGGGAUAUAUCACGUGACCCAAAAAACGACAAAGGAAGGGACAGUGUCGACGGACAGUGCGGUGGCUCCUCUGCCAAAAAGUUGGUCACAGACUUUAAAAGGUAAGUUUUGGGGUAAAAUAACCCUUUUACAACAAAAAAAAACAAAAGAAUUUGGGAAACUGUGUUUUGACGGGCCAUUUGAAAAAUAUCUUAUUUUUGGAAUCCAAUUUUAUAAAAUAUGAUAACCAGAUUUUAAUAUGAAAAGUAAUAUUGCUUUUAUGCACUUUGACCUGGCUCCAUUUUUUUUGUCAAGAUUGCCCUCUGACGGCAAUGACCUCGACGGCAAUGGCUUUUGGCUUAGGUUUUUCGGUGUCGGAGGGGGCUUCCUUUUCGACUUUUUUCUUCAUGCUAGAGUGAGGAGUGAGGAGUGAGGAAGACGAAAGUGUCCUUGCCGUCGUUGUUGCUCCGGUGGAGGAAGUCGCAAAACUUCCACCGUUUUGAUGAUCAUGUGGAGUUGCUUUUCCUGCACCUUCCCGAUGGAGACUUCGCUACCUUGGGUUUCCACACACAGUACAUCCUCGACAGCACUCCCUCGAGCUCGUCGACCUCUGAUGACAAGGACACUCCAGGUCCAUUGCAGAUAAAAAAAAUAGGUUAUAGUGGUGACGAUGACAAUGGACUGAGUUGCGGCGACAAUAACCUUGACACAUCCAGAUUUUUCUCAAAUAUGAAAUAGAAUUUCAAUUGAAAAAUAUGCUUUUGAUAGAGGAGAGAGGAACGGCUUCGGAGGCCGACGAGCUCGAGGGAGUGCUAUCGGGGAUGUACUGUGUGUGGAAACCCAAGGCGGCGAAGUCUCCACCAAGAAGGUGCAGGAAAAACAACUCCACGGGAUCAUCGAAACGGUGGAAGUUCCGCAACUUUCUCCAUCGGAGCAACAGCGACGACAAGGACACUUUCGUCUUCCUCACUCCUCACUCCAGCAUGAAGAAAAAAGCCGAAAAGGAAGUCCCCUUGGGCGCUGAAAAACCUAAGUCAAAAGCCAUUACCGCCAAGGUCAUUGCCGCCGAAGGGCAUUCUUAGCACAAAAAAUGGAGCCAGCUCAAAGUGCAUAAAAGCAAUAUUACUUUCCAUAUUAAAAUUUGGUUCUCAUAUUUUAUAAAAUUGGGUUAUGAAAAUCAGAUAUUUUCCAAAUAGCCCCAUCAAAACACAAGUUUCCCAAAAAAAAUUAUAUAUAAGGUUAAGCCUUUUUACAAAAUUCAUGAUUUUAUUUUAAUUUUUUAAAAUUUAAGUUGAAACCUUGAUUAGAUUUCAGUUUUGGAUUGAAGCCGCAAUUAACAAUUAAGACUUCGUUUUUUAACUGAAGUUGUAAUUAGCAAUUGAUGCUUCAAUUUUUUUUCUUACUUUAAAAUUUAAUUUAAAAAUAUUAAAUUAAAAAUUAUUAUUAAAAUUAAAAAUAUAUAAUUUAAUAAUAAGAAAUUUAUAUACUUAAACUUAAAGAUUUAGUAUUACUUUAAUAAAGAUAAAUUGAUAAAUAUAAUAAUAAAUAAAUAUUUUAUUUAUCAAUAAAUUAAUAAUUUUAAAAUAAUAAAGUUAUAUGAGACAUAAAUAAUGUAUAAAUUUAUAUAAUUUAUUAAUUUAAUAUAUUAAAUUUAUUAUAUUUUUAAAAUAUAAAAUGAUAUAAUCUAUUAAUUUAAAUUACAUCACGUGUAGUACCUACUAAAAUCAUAGAGGGACAUUUUUUUCCAUUAUAUAUGAAAUAUUAAGAUUAUAUUAUUAUUUUAAUAAAGAUUAAUUUGUCAAAAUACAAAUAAAUUAAUAUCUUAAAAAUACAACAAAUUAAAUAUCUUAAAUUAAUAAAUUAUAUAAUUUAUAUCUUAUUUAUAUAUUAUAUAAUUUUAUUAUUUUAAGAUUAUUAAUUUAUUGAUAAAUAAAAUAUUUAUUUAUUAUUAUAUUUAACAAUUUAUAUAUUAGAUUGUUAUAUUUAAAUAUAUAACUUUUUUUUAUUAUUAAGUAUAUACUUUUAAUUUCAAUAAUAAUUUAUAAUUUAAUAUUUUUAAUUAAAAUUUAAAGUAAAAAAAAUUAACUGAAACCUUUAUUGAAAAUUGAGAUCUUAGUUAAAAAAUGAAAUCACAAUUAUCAAUUGUAACUUUAAUUUAAAAAUGAAAUCUCAAUUAACAAUUGAAAUUUCAACUUCAAAAUGAAGCCUCAAUUGAUAAUUGAAGUUUCAGUUUCAAAAUGAUGUCUCAGUUACUAAUUACUUUUUAAAAAUAAAGUAUCAUUUAACAAUUGAAACUUUAAUUUAAAUUUUGAUUAAAUAAAAUAAAAUAAAAUUAUGAUAUAUCUCUUAGUGAUGAUAAAAAGAUUAAUUUGAUCAUAAAGUUUUGCGGACGGGAUACACUAACAUUUCCUUUUAUAAAAGGGUUAUUUUGCACCCCCAAACUCUCAAAAGGCAUUGGCUGACGUCACCAAGUACAUUAUUGGGAUCCCAACCAGCCAUCCUAUCACACUCCACAUUAAAAUCUCCACAAAUCCAAGGUCCAGGACGGCACCUGGUUAAUCAAGAUUCAAGAUCAAGAAAACCACUAUAAAUAAGAAGAGAGCAUACCAAUGGCAGCCACAUCUCUUCAAUCAGCAACAAUGGCUGAAGAAGUGAAGCUUUUUGGCACGUGGGCAAGCCCCUUUAGCCGCAGAAUUGAAGUGGCCCUGAAGCUGAAAGGAGUUCAAUUUGAACAUAGCAGAGAACUUGUCCAGUAAGAGUCCUGCGCUUCUCACGUAUAAUCCAGUUCACAAGAAAAUCCCUGUGCUUGUACACAAUGGAAAGCCGGUUGCAGAGUCACUUGUCAUCCUGGAGUACAUUGAUGAGACCUGGAAACAUAAUCCCAUCUUGCCUACAGACCCUUAUGAGAAGGCCAUGGCACGGUUCUGGGCUAAGUACAUAGAUGACAAGGUAAACCCAAUAGUAUCUUCCUUUUUUAAAAAUUUUCAUUUGGGUCCCGACCACUAUUCGUUAGGCGGUUCUGGCCGGCAGCCAAAAAAGGUUGUGGUGAGUAAGGGAGAGGAGCAAAAGGGAGUGAUUGAAGAAAUCCAGGAGCAGCUGAAAACUCUAGAGAGUGAGCUGAAAGAGACGAAAUUCUUUGGAGGGGAGAGUUUGGGAUUUGUAGACAUAGCUGCAAACAUUUUAGUUUGGCUUCUUGUUGCCCAAGAAGCUCUGGGAUUUGUUGGAACUUUUACUAAUAAAACUAAAUUACCUACUUUUAUCUAGGAAUAUAUUAUUACCUUCAUUAUGAUUUUAACCCAGAUCUAACCUACUAUGUACCAUGAAUAUUCCCUCUCACAGCAAACACCUAGGAAACAACCAAAUAUCUUCUACUUUCAAGCCUACAGUUAUAUUAUACAUGUUAGGGUCAAACAAUGUACUAAAAUGGAUCUCCAAUGACAGUCUAGGAUUUAUAUAGUUUUUUACUAGUGUAAAAAAUUUUAAAUCCUUGAUGAAUGAUGCUUUUACUUCAUGUUUAGUAGACUCUUACUGUGGAUGAGAAUUAAUUAACUAAUCAUAUAUUAAGGUAUCGAAGUGGUAUUUAUCACACUCCCAAAUCCAUACCAUUGAAUAAAAGUCUAAAUACAUAAAACUUAGAUAUAUUUUAAUUUAUAAAGGAAAAAUGGUAAGAUAAUAAAAGUGGUACCUGUCGAACUACAUUCUAGAAUGUCAAAUUUAUAUCCAUGACCAUGAAUAAGGAUAUAAAUAAAUGGAAAUAAGGUACAGAAUACAAAUAAACGAAUCGAUGGUCUAUAUGUAUUUGGAUAGGUACUAUUUUGAUGGCUUAGCAAGAGUAGCUCGGAAAGUUCAAAAACGAAAAAAUGGUGGAUGGUAGACCCACAGCAAUACACCAACCGAUGAAUAUUUUUGAAAGACAUCGGGUCAAACUCGAGUUAUGAUGCAGAAUGGUCUGUGCAAUAUCGCUUCACCAGUAAACGGGUUUGUCCUCAAAUGAAAAAGGGAAGCCGAAAGCCAGUGAACAAAUUACACGAAAAAGUUUGUCCAAGACUCCCAAGGCUUCAAACGUUCCUUCGUCUGCAUAAUUCUUAGUGCACACGUAUUGGCUGACGUCUGGAAGCCUCUUGAUGGCGUCACCAUAUACAUCAAUGCUUCCCAAUCAGCCAUUCGACGACACUGACACGCUCCAAAGUCCAAACUAAGAUCUCGACAAAAGAAAAACCCCUAUAAAUCAGAAGAAAAUACGGCAAGGGAACCAUACCUCUCCAAACUGCAACAAUGGCUGAAGAAGUGAAGCUGUUUGGUGCAUGGGGAAGCCCCUAUAGCCGCAGAAUUGAAUUGGCCCUGAAGCUGAAAGGACUUCAAUUUGAAUACAUAGAAGAGAACUUGUACAAUAAGAGUCCUGCGCUUCUCAAGUAUAAUCCAGUUCACAAGAAAGUCCCUGUGCUCGUACACAAUGGAAAGCCGGUUGCAGAGUCACUUGUCAUCCUGGAGUACAUUGAUGAGACCUGGAAACACAACCCCUUCUUGCCUACAGACCCUUACGAAAAGGCCAAGGCACGGUUCUGGGCUAGGUUCAUAGAUGAGAAGGUAAAUCUAAUACUAUUUUGUUUUUCUUUUUUUAAAAAUCAUCUGGGUCUUGUCUCUUUAAGCAUUGGUAAACUUUAUAUGCAUUAUACAGUUCUGGCCGGCAGCAAAAAAGGCUAUGGCGAGUAGGGGAAGGGAGCGAGAGGAAGCGAUUGAAGAAGCUCAGCAGCAUCUGAAAACCCUUGAGAGUGAGCUGAAAGAGAAGAAAAUCUUUGGAAGGGAGAGUUUGGGAUUUGUAGACAUAGCUGCGCAUCUUUUGUUUUGGCUUGUUGUUGCCCAAGAAGCCUUUGGAGUGGAGAUCCUAACUGAGGAGAAGUUUCCCGCCGUGCAUGAAUUGUAUCAAAGGCUCGCAGAUGAGGCUGUUUUCAAGGAAUGUAUGCCACCAAAGGAGCAACUCAUUGCCUAUCUUAAAGUUCGGUUGGGAGCCUGGACUGCUUCCAAAUGAAGAGUUGGUUUAUGUACGUGUCUGAGUUGAUGGGAGAGGAACCUCUUUCUUCUCAUCUACGUAUGUCAAAGUCCUGUAUUUUGAAGUUGUAUCAUGAGCUUUGUCCCGUUUGUGGGUAUGAGAACUUAAAAAUAAAUUGGAGAAGUACUGCACUAAAUGGUACUACGAGGAAGAACACUCCAGCAUUGCUCCUUAAUAAUAGCAUUUCAAUUCUAUGUACAUCGACCUCUAGAUUAGAUUAAUAAAGAUUUGGAUAUAGAGAUGCUUAUGAAAGAGCAGCAUGGCUUGGUUCUGGUUCAGUUCAUGGAUAUGAGAGAAUGUAAGUGACGUUGAGCCUCAACUCUAAUGCUUUAAGGUUGUGUUUUGAAUUUAUGGCAUGGGAUGCUGAUGCUACUUCUAUAUUCUGCUUUGAAUCAUGGGUGUAUAUGGGCAUCACAAAACUAGAAGCUCCGUUUUGCUACAAAAUUUUCAAAACAUUCAAUGUUUCUAUGCCUAUUUUUUAAAAUAAUUGAUUAUAAACAUAUAAAAUAGUAAUUAACAAAAAUGCUCCUUUUACCAAUUUUUGUUUUUAUUCUAUCAUUCUUCCUAUGCUAUUAGGAGCAAAUUCUCUUUUAUUUAACCAUUUUAGGAUUUUUCAUUAUUUUUUAAACUCUUUUAUAAAUAAUUGAAAAAUCAAUAUUAUUUUCGGUUGGUUGCAGAGUCACUUGUCAUCCUGGAGUACAUUGAUGAGACCUGGAAACACAACCCCAUCUUGCCUACAGACCCUUACGAAAAGGCCUUGGCACGGUUCUGGGCUAGGUUCAUAGAUGAGAAGGUAAACCCAACACUAUUUUCCUUUUUCUUUUUUCUAAAAAAAAAAAAUAAAAUUCAUUUGGGUCCUGUCUCUUUAAGCAUUAAACUCCAUAUUCAUUAUGCAGUUCUGGGCGAUCUGGCCGGCAGUAAAAAAGGCUAUAGUGAGUAGGGAAAGGGAGCGAGAGGAAGCGAUUGAAGAAACUCGGCCGCAUCUGAAAACCCUUGAGAGUGGGCUGAAAGAGAGGAAAUUCGUUGGAGGAGAGAGUUUGGGAUUCGUAGAGCUGGCUGCAAACGUUAUAGUUUGGCUUUUUGUUGCCCAAGAAGUUCUGGGACUGCUAACCGAAGAGAAGUUUCCCACUGUGCAUGAAUGGUAUCAAAGGUUUGCUGAU